This 460-nucleotide ribosomal RNA is filed under the name uncultured bacterium. RNAcentral's name for it is "bacterial SSU rRNA". It matches the Rfam family "Bacterial small subunit ribosomal RNA", at positions 917 to 1382 of the family's 1533-position model. The record is from RNAcentral.
GACCCCGCACAAGCGGUGGAUCAUGUUGUUUAAUUCGAAGAUACGCGAAGAACCUUACCAGGUCUUGACAUCCUCUGCAAUGCUAUAGAGAUAUAGCGGAGGUUACCAGAGAGACAGGUGGUGCAUGGUUGUCGUCAGCUCGUGUCGUGAGAUGUUCGGUUAAGUCCGGUAACGAGCGCAACCCUCGUCGUUAGUUGCCAUCAUUAAGUUGGGGACUCUAACGAGACUGCCAGUGACAAACUGGAGGAAGGUGGGGAUGACGUCAAAUCAUCAUGCCCCUUAUGACCUGGGCUACAAACGUGAUACAAUGGCUGCAACAAAGGGAAGCGAAGAGGUGACUCGGAGCAAAUCUCAAAAAAACAGUCUCAGUUCGGAUUGAAGUCUGCAACUCGACUUCAUGAAGCCGGAAUCGCUAGUAAUCGCGAAUCAGAACGUCGCGGUGAAUACGUUCUCGGGGUUU